CUACGGGAGGCAGCAGUAGGGAAUCUUCCGCAAUGGGCGAAAGCCUGACGGAGCAACGCCGCGUGAGUGAUGAAGGUCUUCGGAUCGUAAAACUCUGUUAUUAGGGAAGAACAUAUGUGUAAGUAACUGUGCACAUCUUGACGGUACCUAAUCAGAAAGCCACGGCUAACUACGUGCCAGCAGCCGCGGUAAUACGUAGGUGGCAAGCGUUAUCCGGAAUUACUGGGCGUAAAGCGCGCGUAGGCGGUUUGUUAAGUCUGAUGUGAAAGCCCACGGCUCAACCGGGGAGGGUCAUUGGAAACUGGAAAACUUGAGUGCGGAAGAGGAAAGUGGAAUUCCAUGUGUAGCGGUGAAAUGCGCAGAGAUAUGGAGGAACACCAGUGGCGAAGGCGACUUUCUGGUCUGUAACUGACGCUGAUGUGCGAAAGCGUGGGGAUCAAACAGGAUUAGAUACCCUGGUAGUCC
RNAcentral lists this ribosomal RNA (465 nucleotides) under Staphylococcus aureus. RNAcentral's name for it is "bacterial SSU rRNA". It matches the Rfam family "Bacterial small subunit ribosomal RNA", at positions 339 to 796 of the family's 1533-position model. Lineage: Bacteria; Bacillati; Bacillota; Bacilli; Caryophanales; Staphylococcaceae. The record is from RNAcentral.